This 429-nucleotide ribosomal RNA is filed under the name Desmodesmus serratus. RNAcentral's name for it is "SSU rRNA". It matches the Rfam family "Eukaryotic small subunit ribosomal RNA", at positions 655 to 1087 of the family's 1831-position model. Lineage: Eukaryota; Viridiplantae; Chlorophyta; Chlorophyceae; Sphaeropleales; Scenedesmaceae. The record is from RNAcentral.
UUCAGCGGUCCGCCUAUGGUGAGUACUGCUGUGGCCUUCCUUACUGUUGGGGACCUGCUUCUGGGCUUCAUUGUCCGGGACAGGGAUUCAGCAUGGUUACUUUGAGUAAAUUGGAGUGUUCAAAGCAGGCUUACGCCGUGAACAUUUUAGCAUGGAAUAACAUGAUAGGACUCUGCCCUAUUCUGUUGGCCUGUAGGAGUGGAGUAAUGAUUAAGAGGAACAGUCGGGGGCAUUCGUAUUUCAUUGUCAGAGGUGAAAUUCUUGGAUUUAUGAAAGACGAACUACUGCGAAAGCAUUUGCCAAGGAUGUUUUCAUUAAUCAAGAACGAAAGUUGGGGGGCUCGAAGACGAUUAGAUACCGUCGUAGUCUCAACCAUAAACGAUGCCGACUAGGGAUUGGCGGACGUUUUUGCAUGACUCCGUCAGCACC